Molecule: long non-coding RNA, 4772 nt
Filed under: Lathyrus oleraceus (garden pea)
Lineage: Eukaryota; Viridiplantae; Streptophyta; Magnoliopsida; Fabales; Fabaceae
Description: Pisum sativum (pea) long non-coding RNA (PSAT_LNC032156)
Source: RNAcentral
UAAGGAAUGCUAACACCGCAUUUACCAGGGAGAGCAGCAGCAUUGUUAGUAUUCAAUUUAGAAAUAGAACCGGCAGCUGAUUUCAAACAGUUACAGGCAGCCUGACGAUCAGGCGUCGUGGUGGCGGCACCAAGAAGCUUCUUCACUCCUGCACAGCAUGAUGGUGGAGGACUGGCAUUAUUAGGAGCUUCAAGAUAAGUAAGGCAUGGAGCCAAAUCACCGGAUACAGUUCCACAUGACAAAGCAGCUUCUGCCGUAGGCGCAAUAACUACCAUGCAGAUCACCAAAACAACACAUGCUAACUUCAUGCUUCUUGCCAUUUUUGUUUUCUUUCUUUUCUAUUCUUUUUCUUAGUUUGUUUGAUUGGUGACUGUAUUGUCUUUGUGGGAGGGGAUUUAUAAAGAAAAUAAGAUAAGGUAGAGUUAUGAAUUUUUGGUGAAUGUGCAUCAAGAUUUGGUAGUAGUUGUGGGUGGAAUUAAUGAUGUAUGGACACUUGUCUCACCAUUAUAAGUUAUUUAUUUAAUGAUUUGGUACGCCCUUAGAUUUGAUUAUAAUAAAAUUUAGAAUGAUAUUAAAAUUCUAUAAUCUUGACCCUCCUUUCAACUUUAUUUAAAACUUAUUAUCUCGAUGUCACACUAUAAGUGUAAUAUUUUUAAUGUAUAUAUAUAUAUAUAUAUAUAUAUAUANUAAUGUGUUCAAUUUUGUUUAUAUUAAGAGAUUUAGGUAUUUUUGAGGGAGGAUAUAGGAAUUCUAUUUGCAUAACUUUACAACUUUACAGACAUACAUCUUUUCUUAGGACUAUUUUGUGACCUUGAUUUCGAAAGUGGAGUCCUCUUUACGAUUAGGUGAUGUGUGUCCUAUUUCUUGUUAGGAAAAAUAAACAAUAGAGAAAAAAAAUGAAUACAAUUACAAUACAAGAACAUAACGUGGAAACUCUAAAAUUGGAGAAAAAAUCACGACAGUUGUAAAAUGACAAGAAGAGAAUAACAUUAUGUGAAAAUUGAUAUAACACAUAAUAUACCCUCAACUAAUUCAAGUCCCCGGUACACCCACACCCUUAAAAGUAAAUAUUUAUCUAGAUCUCAUAACACUCUAAUAUAAGAGUAUAAGAGAACAAAGAAAGUCAUAUACAUGCUUAAAGUGUUUUUGACGUGUGCCUCUUGGAAUAAAAACAUGAAUCAUAUAUAUAGCCUUGGACUCCAUCUUCCUUCAUAAAACCAAGCAAUGUGGGACUUCAAAGAACUUGUAAUAUAUAUAUAUAUAUAUAGAGAGAGAGAGAGUCAUAGUUUCUCUCUUCUAGAUGAAUGCAAGGUAAAAUGUUGCAGUGCAACGACUAGACCAAUGCAAGAGGAUGAUUCAUGUGAUGAUUUUGAAUGCUUUUGAAUGGUGCCCCUAUGGUGGGUCGUGGACGGUUAAGGUUUAGAGAGGUUGCUUGUUACACGAUGGUAGGUAAAAAUAUAAAAAAGAAGAAAAACUUUAAAAAUGGGGAAAAUUUAAUGUGUGAAAAUGUUUAUUCUAUUUAUAUCAAAUUAUUUGGUUAAAAUAUUUAAUUAUAACAUUAAAAGAUGAAUCAAAAAUAAAUAAAUAAAAUAUUGUAUAUGGAUUCUAACCUAAUAUAUUAUUUUGAUCUUGUGCCAUGAAUAAAAAUAUUUGAUUGUACAAUUUUUAAUUAAAACACAAUUGUCAAAAAUUAAAUGAAAAACAAAAAUAAUUAAUAAAAUAAUAGAAUAGAAAAUUUAUAAUUAUAAUUAAAAUUAAAAAAAUUCAAAUUAGCACUUUUGACUUUUUAUCUUUUUUUUUAAUAAUCACAAUGUAUUUUUUUACCAUUUUUUUUUUAAUAUUUUUUUAAUAAAAAGUAAAACAAAGUGAAAAUUAAUUACUUAAAAAAACUUAUAUUAAAUAAAAUGAAAUUAAUAAUAAAAUGAUAAUAAAUGAUUUUUUUUAAUAAUAACAAUAAUAACUAUAAUAAAUAAAAAUAUAAUAAUGUUAAUGGUAAAAACUUAAAUAAAUUUAGUAAUAAUAAAAUAACUCUAAUAUAAUUAUAUUGUUAGUGAAAAAAAUGUAAGGAAUAUAAUAAUGCUAAUAAGAUAAUCCUAAUCCUAAUAAUAAUAUAAUUCUAAAAGGAAAGACGCAAAAAGUCUAAAAAUAUCAAAAAGGAGAAAAAUACUAAAGAUGUGAAUGGUGGAACGCUAACUCAGAACGUCGCCCUUGUAACUCCUUAUACAUGCUUUUCUAUCAAUUGUGCAAUUAUAUUCAUUCGAAAUAAAGUGGCACUAAAAAAUAUAUGAAUGAUGAAUGAAAUUUGUGGUACGACAACCUUCAAUGGGAGUGUUGGUCUUCCAAUACAGGUUUUGAUCUCCUUAUAUAGAAAUAACUCUAGCCUUUUUCCUUGUGGAUCUUUUUUUCGUCCAGAAUCUUUGCACAAUAUGUUGGAUAUUUGAUUUGAUCCUUGAAUAUCUCUAACAAGAUAUGAUUUGUUUUUAAUUCAAAUUCAAAUUUAAAUCUUCAUUUAAAUCUGAAUUAAACUUCAUUCAACAGUCAAACAUAUCAUCCAAUCAUAUUGUUAAAUCAAUAACAAUAAAAUCUUUGAUCAAUCUUCUUAGAUCCUACUCCAAAACGCGUGUUAUAUCAUUGAAGCAUCGCGCACAUCAUGUGACUUUUUUCCAGCUUCAUACAACUUGAGCAACCUAGACCAAUCUUGAAUAUUUGGACACUUCUCCAAGUUAUUGUUUUACUAAAAUGUAGUCAAUCCGAAGGUCCAAUCCAAUAGGAACAACAAUCUCCCCCUUUAAAAAAAUUAUGGAAAAAUAACUCUUUAAGAUACAAAAACAUUUAUUCAAUUAGAACAAGUGACAACCAAUAGAACAAUUGGAUCUUCAAAACAUUUUAGCAGCAGCAACUUCCAUGUAUCAGAGUUAAGCACCAACAACAAUAGAAGUCAGAAGCAUUAACAUUCAGAUGCUAUCACAUAGUCCAUUCAGUUUGCUCCAAACCAAACUGACAAUUAUGCAAUCAGUCACAGAUUUAGUCAUGCAUGAAUCUAGUAUCUCAUAGUUACAAGUUGUUGUUUUGCUAAAAUGCAGUCAAUCCAAAGGCCGGUCCAACAGGAAUAACAAUUUUUUUAAAAUAACCAUCACUUUGCUAGAGAGAUAGAAAGAAUAUUGCAUCUAAAGCAUCAUGUCAUUAUUGUGGUGAUAAAGGUCACAUUAGGCCUCUUUCCCAUGUUAAGAAUGUCAAAGUUCCUAAUGGUACCGUGACAUGGAUACUAAGUUUCCUUAUACUAACCCUUGAAGACCCAUGUGCAAUUGGGUACCUAGUUCUAUCUAUUGAUAUUUUGUACAUGAUUGUUUAGGAAUCUUAAUGGAUUCUAACGACAAGUGAAGAAAGAUAUAUUCAAUCAUAUUUUAUUAAUUGCAUUGUACUUUUGCUAUAUUAGGUGUGUUGUUUGCUAACAUUAUUGUAAUUGCUCUGCCCUUAAUUCAUCUUAAUUUCUCUUAAUUGUUUUGUUUGCAUUGUUGUUAUUAAAUUAGUUUUUGUGGCAUUAAAUUUGUUUCCAUUAAACUCCCCUAAAUUAAAUGGUUUUUUUCAUUAAUUUUUUUUAAGCAUAAGAAAUUACAUAUAUCUAUUAGUUUAUUUAUUUUGAUGAUAUUAUAUUUGGAGUUAUUGAUAAAUCAUUUUACAAGCAGUUUGCUAGUAUCAUACAGGCAGUUUGAAAUGUCAUGAAUAGAAAAGUUCACCUACUUCGUAAAAUUACAAAUAAAGAAAAUCGAAGUUGGCACGUUAAUCAGUCAGAUAAAGUAUUACUUGAAGAUAUCCGCUCUAUAACAAUGUUUGAAAAGGACGGCUAAGAUCAUCUCCCUUUUUAUUGGACAGAGGAGGCAAAUACUAUAAAUUCAUAUGAAUUCCUCACUGUAUUUUUUAUUUUGUAUAAAAAUGUUCAUGUUCAAACAAUAAUUUAUCUAUUUACAAAUAAAUUUUGUAUCUUUUAAAUUUUAAGAUUUUAUUGAUAAUUUGUUUUUCAGGUAAAAAUCUGAUAAUUAUUUUUCUAGACGAUAAAGUGAUCAAAAUUAAAAUAAAAUUCAUCAAAUAACCAGGAAAUGAAACCAAAUUAUAAGAUUUCGUUAUAUGUAGAUACAAUCCAAAUCAGUCUAGUACAACAUGUAACAUGAGCCUUCAUCACUCUCAUUGGAUAUUAUUCUUAAUAAUAGUAUUUAUUGGCACUCUCAUAUACUAGUGAGAAGUUUCCAUAUGAUAACCCUGAAACCACACCAGCAUCUUCAAAACUUAACACUGUAAAUAUAAACAAAUAAAAAAAACAGUUAGUAAUUAAUUUCAUAUUUUCACAUGCUUCAAAAUAAACCAAGAGAGAAAUAAGAGUGAGAGUUAUAAUAAGACAUACGUGUUACAGUUGGUGGAGGUACUGAUCUUGUAAGGAAUGCUAACACCGCAUUUGCCCGGGAGAGCAGCAGCGUUGUUAGUAUUCAAUUUUGAAAUAGAACCGGCAGCUGAUUUCAAGCAGUUACAGGCAGCCUGACGAUCCGGCGUCGUGGUGGCGGCACCAAGAAGCUUCUUCACUCCUGCACAGCAUGGCGGUGGUGGACUGGCGUUAUUAGGAGCUUGAAGAUAAGUAAGGCAUGGAGCCAAAUCACCGGUUACAGCUCCACAUGACAAAGCAGCUUCUGCAUAGGCGCAAUAACUACCAUGCACAUCACCAAAACAACACAUGCUAACUUCAUGCUUCUUGCCAUUUUUGUUUUCUUUCUUUUCAAUUC